AUGUUGUAUCCUCUAGGCUAUGUCAUUCUUUCCAAGGUUGUGCCCUGCCCCCUUCCCUUCUGUUUCACAGCUACUGAGCCCACUUGCUGCCAACUGCUAAAGCCCAUGUGCCUAGAGCCUGAGCUCUGCAACAAGAGAAGCCACCGCGCACUGCAACUAGAGAAUAGCCCCCACUUGCUGCAACUACAGAAAGCCCAUAUGCAGCAACGAAGACCCACCACAGCCAAAAAACAAAUAAAUGAGAGUACUCAGUAUAAACAUCUGAUGAACCAAUACAGGGUCUUGGAUAUGAAGCGGAAUUCCCUAAAACUCAGCACUGACUCUUCUUCCUCACAAUGAGAGUACCAGACUUAGGAGGAAAAGUAAAUUUGAGGGGAAAUAAGUUUAGGAUGGUUGAAUACAUAUGUUGAGUUGCCUAACCUGAAGUAAAAUACCAUUAUCUGGGGGAACAAAAUUCCCAGAAGCUCUAAAUAGAUGGUUCUUCAUAUAAACCGAAAGAGCAGGGACUUCCCUGGGGGUCCAGUGAUGAAGAGUCCAGGCUUCUAAUGCAGGGGCAUGGGUCUGAUCCCUGAUCAGAGAACUAAGAUCCUACAUGCUGUGCCAAAAAAAUGAAACAAAACAAAACAACAACCAACUGAAAGAGCAGAUCAGGUGUGAAGCAGAAUAGGGGACAUCUCUGCAGUAGAAGGGGUGGGGCCCAGGAUAUUGAACUUCCUGUGGGGCUUCUGUCACAUUCCAGCUCCUUCCUUGUAUAACACGAGAGCUUUGUGCUUUCAGUCAAGAUACUGAAACCUACUUUCUCAGAGCCUUUAUUAAUUUCCCAAACCAAAGAAACCUCCACCUUUGACACAAAAGUGUCAUAGCUUAGGUAGAUUUAUAGACUACAUGUGCUAAGCACUGAAGCCCUAUAAAUGGACAUGAUGUCAAUAAUGGGUCGGGAGAAACUGUCCCAGCUAUGGGGUUAUUGUCAGCAUUUAAAGGGCCUAGUGAACUCUGGAAUAGAUCAAGUAGACAAUAGUCUCUAGGAAGUCAAACCCAAUAGCCCAAUUAAGGGUGGGGUGCAGGUGAAAUACACAGUAUUCUGAGGCAAUGGAGAUAGCAGGCAAUACUCAGAGACAGGUAGACGCAACAGUAAUGCCACAGGAAGCCAUUUCCUAGAUAUUGAGGGCAAAGACUGGGCAGUGUGUCAAGAAGGGUGGAGUGAUAGCAAGGACUCCCAGUUCCAGCAGCAGCUAUCAAGACACUCUGAUGGAAUAUUACUCAGCCAUAAAAAGGAAUGAAAUUGGGUCAUUGUGGAGAUGUGGGUGGACCUCGAAUCUGUCAUACAGAGUGAAGUAAG
This 1339-nucleotide long non-coding RNA is filed under the name Bos indicus x Bos taurus (hybrid cattle). RNAcentral's name for it is "lncRNA (ENSBIXG00005024658.1)". The record is from RNAcentral. Lineage: Eukaryota; Metazoa; Chordata; Mammalia; Artiodactyla; Bovidae.